GCCUUAGUCUCAUUUGUUGCACUGGUACAACUCAUCCGCAUCCAAUUGCGCCUUUCAGGAAUUGGUUGGACAACACAAAAGGUUUUUCACUUGAUGAAUUUUGUUGUCUGUGGAUUGAGAGCAAUAUUAUUUGGGUUCUACAGCAGCGUGUUCAAUCUUAGAUCAAAAGCACUUGAGAUGAUGCUUCUGGAUCUCCCCGGUCUUCUAUUCUUCUCCACAUACACACUAUUAGUUCUGUUUUGGGCUGAAAUAUUCCAUCAGGCAAGAAACCUUCCAAUCGAUAAACUUCGACCUGCACAUUAU
Molecule: unclassified non-coding RNA, 303 nt
Filed under: Hevea brasiliensis (rubber tree)
Lineage: Eukaryota; Viridiplantae; Streptophyta; Magnoliopsida; Malpighiales; Euphorbiaceae
Source: RNAcentral